CCCACACAUACCAUGCUUUGUCUUGUAGCCUGAUUGUCCUCGUCCCAGUGGACACGGUCUCCUGAGUGUAUUUUAUACUUUAGUGUCUUCUGUGUUUGGACUUUUUACCCGCUCAUCUUCCCCCCGUUGGAUUUGUUCAUUGGUUUCAGCUGCUCCGCCUGGUUUUUGGACUUCGCCUCCAUCGUCAUUCCUAUUGGCCACGCUCUAUAUUUAACCAGGAGGUCGCAGCCAAACGAGCGUGGGAGACGCUUCACAGAGACGUGAGCCUGGAAGGAGGUCAACAUGUGCUGCGAGCAGGAGAACGGGAGCUGAAGCAGCGGGAACGUCAGCGGAGGGAGACGGGUUCGAGACCACCAGUGAAACAGACACUCAGACUCUAAUGAGGAUGUCUCCCAAAAAAAACGAACUCUUCCCUCCGCGUUCAAGCUUCUCGUCCACACGAGGUUUUAAUCGGUGCAUUUUGGAAACAAUGACGUCACGGCAUAAUUUGUUCAUGCAACAGUUGAAAUAAUAAAAUCCCUGCUUUUCUGGUAUUUGACGGAUCGCUGAUGUAGACUUUAUCUCCACCUGCUGGCUCGGCAUGUUUGUCUGAGCACACGGGUUAUUUCCCGUAGUUUCCGAUGGC
This is a non-coding RNA of Paralichthys olivaceus (Japanese flounder), 625 nucleotides long. The record is from RefSeq and is a predicted model, not a curated record. NCBI's taxonomy places the organism in Eukaryota, Metazoa, Chordata, Actinopteri, Pleuronectiformes, Paralichthyidae.